RNAcentral lists this transfer RNA (62 nucleotides) under Folsomotoma octooculata. RNAcentral describes it as "tRNA-His". The record is from RNAcentral. Lineage: Eukaryota; Metazoa; Arthropoda; Collembola; Entomobryomorpha; Isotomidae.
ACCUAAAUAGUUUAAAAAAAAUUAUAGAGUGUGAAUUUAUAGAUAGAAUUUUCUUUUAGGUA